Molecule: transfer RNA, 64 nt
Filed under: Coleoptera sp. 13 KM-2017
Lineage: Eukaryota; Metazoa; Arthropoda; Insecta; Coleoptera
Description: tRNA-His
Rfam family: tRNA
About the family: Transfer RNA (tRNA) molecules are approximately 80 nucleotides in length. Their secondary structure includes four short double-helical elements and three loops (D, anti-codon, and T loops).
Source: RNAcentral
AUUUAAAUAGUUUAAAUAAAACGUUGGUUUGUGGAACCGGAAAUAUAAUUAAUUAUUUUAAAUA